AGAGUUUGAUCAUGGCUCAGAUUGAACGCUGGCGGUAUGCUUAACACAUGCAAGUCGAACGGUAGCAGGCCUUCGGGCGCUGACGAGUGGCGGACGGGUGCGUAAUGCAUAGGCAUCUGCCUAUUAGUGGGGGAUAACGUGGGGAAACUCACGCUAAUACCGCAUACGCUCUACGGAGGAAAGAUGGGGAUCUUCGGACCUGGCGCUAAUAGAUGAGCCUAUGUUGGAUUAGCUAGUUGGUAGGGUAAAGGCCUACCAAGGCGACGAUCCAUAGCUGGUCUGAGAGGAUGAUCAGCCACACUGGGACUGAGACACGGACCAGACUCCUACGGGAGGCAGCAGUGGGGAAUAUUGGACAAUGGGCGAAAGCCUGAUCCAGCAAUACCGCGUGUGUGAAGAAGGCCUGAGGGUUGUAAAGCACUUUCAAUAGGAAGGAAUACCUGCCGGCUAAUACCCGGUAGACUGACAUUACCUAUACAAGAAGCACCGGCUAACUCCGUGCCAGCAGCCGCGGUAAUACGGAGGGUGCAAGCGUUAAUCGGAAUUACUGGGCGUAAAGCGUGCGUAGGCGGUUAUUUAAGUCAGAUGUGAAAGCCCCGGGCUUAACCUGGGAACUGCAUUUGAUACUGGAUGACUAGAGUUGAGUAGAGGAGAGUGGAAUUUCAGGUGUAGCGGAGAAAUGCGUAGAGAUCUGAAGGAACACCAGUGGCGAAGGCGGCUCUCUGGACUCAAACUGACGCUGAGGUACGAAAGCGUGGGUAGCAAACAGGAUUAGAUACCCUGGUAGUCCACGCCGUAAACGAUGUCAACUAACCGUUGGGUUCUUAAAGAACUUAGUAGUGGAGC
RNAcentral lists this ribosomal RNA (846 nucleotides) under uncultured Methylomonas pAMC462. Its description in RNAcentral is "bacterial SSU rRNA". It matches the Rfam family "Bacterial small subunit ribosomal RNA", at positions 8 to 852 of the family's 1533-position model. The record is from RNAcentral. Lineage: Bacteria; Pseudomonadati; Pseudomonadota; Gammaproteobacteria; Methylococcales; Methylococcaceae.